Molecule: ribosomal RNA, 437 nt
Rfam family: Bacterial small subunit ribosomal RNA
ACGGGAGGCAGCAGUGGGGAAUAUUGGGCAAUGGGCGAAAGCCUGACCCAGCAACGCCGCGUGAAGGAAGAAGGUCUUCGGAUUGUAAACUUCUUUUAUGUAGGACGAAGAAAGUGACGGUACUACAUGAAUAAGCCACGGCUAACUACGUGCCAGCAGCCGCGGUAAUACGUAGGUGGCAAGCGUUAUCCGGAUUUACUGGGUGUAAAGGGCGCGUAGGCGGGGAUGCAAGUCAGAUGUGAAAUCCAUGGGCUCAACCCAUGAACUGCAUUUGAAACUGUAUCUCUUGAGUGCUGGAGAGGUAGAUGGAAUUCCUAGUGUAGCGGUGAAAUGCGUAGAUAUUAGGAGGAACAUCAGUGGCGAAGGCGGCUUACUGGGCUUUAACUGACGCUGAGGCUCGAAAGCGUGGGGAGCAAACAGGAUUAGAUACCCUGGUA